AGAGUUUGAUCAUGGCUCAGAUUGAACGCUGGCGGCAGGCCUAACACAUGCAAGUCGAGCGGAAACGAGUUAUCUGAACCUUCGGGGAACGAUAACGGCGUCGAGCGGCGGACGGGUGAGUAAUGCCUAGGAAAUUGCCCUGGUGUGGGGGAUAACCAUUGGAAACGAUGGCUAAUACCGCAUAAUACCUUCGGGUCAAAGAGGGGGACCUUCGGGCCUCUCGCGUCAGGAUAUGCCUAGGUGGGAUUAGCUAGUUGGUGAGGUAAUGGCUCACCAAGGCGACGAUCCCUAGCUGGUCUGAGAGGAUGAUCAGCCACACUGGAACUGAGACACGGUCCAGACUCCUACGGGAGGCAGCAGUGGGGAAUAUUGCACAAUGGGCGCAAGCCUGAUGCAGCCAUGCCGCGUGUGUGAAGAAGGCCUUCGGGUUGUAAAGCACUUUCAGUCGUGAGGAAGGUAGUGUAGUUAAUAGCUGCAUUAUUUGACGUUAGCGACAGAAGAAGCACCGGCUAACUCCGUGCCAGCAGCCGCGGUAAUAC
Molecule: ribosomal RNA, 539 nt
Filed under: Vibrio harveyi
Lineage: Bacteria; Pseudomonadati; Pseudomonadota; Gammaproteobacteria; Vibrionales; Vibrionaceae
Description: bacterial SSU rRNA
Rfam family: Bacterial small subunit ribosomal RNA
Source: RNAcentral